RNAcentral lists this ribosomal RNA (301 nucleotides) under uncultured bacterium. RNAcentral describes it as "partial 16S ribosomal RNA". It matches the Rfam family "Bacterial small subunit ribosomal RNA", at positions 509 to 807 of the family's 1533-position model. The record is from RNAcentral.
CAGUCGCCACGGGAAUACGAAGGGGGCUAGCGUUGCUCGGAAUGACUGGGCGUAAAGGGCGCGUAGGCGGAUUGUUUAGUUAGGCGUGAAAUUCCUGGGCUUAACCUGGGGACUGCGCUUAAUACAGGCAGUCUAGAGUGAGGAAGAGGGUUGUGGAAUUCCCAGUGUAGAGGUGAAAUUCGUAGAUAUUGGGAAGAACACCGGUGGCGAAGGCGGCAACCUGGUCCUUGACUGACGCUGAGGCGCGAAAGCGUGGGGAGCAAACAGGAUUAGAUACCCGCGUAGUCCCUGUCUCUUAUAC